GGGGAAUAUUGGACAAUGGGGGGAACCCUGAUCCAGCGACGCCGCGUGAGUGAAGAAGUAUUUCGGUAUGUAAAGCUCUAUCAGCAGGGAAGAAAGAAAUGACGGUACCUGACUAAGAAGCCCCGGCUAACUAC
Molecule: ribosomal RNA, 134 nt
Filed under: uncultured bacterium
Lineage: Bacteria
Description: partial 16S ribosomal RNA
Rfam family: Bacterial small subunit ribosomal RNA
Source: RNAcentral